GUGGCUGUGGGAUUGGGUGAAGAACUGCACUCUGACUCAGCUUCCCAUCUUCACGGCCCAGGAGCAAAUUCCUCAGGAUCCUGAAAGAGAGCCACACAUUUCCUGCCUCUCAGCUGUCUGUGCUUGCUGAUGUCUGACCUAAAUGACCUUAACAGAGCCAACCAGGGUGACAGUGGCACUACUGAGAAAUGCCUGAAACUUCUCUUUGAAAGCCCAAUGCUGGAUGGAAAGCUGAAUUUUCCAGUGACUGUCCCAUGAAGUUGCCACUUCACAAGGUGGGUUCCAGCAAUCAUAUUUUGAACAAAAUCCGACAUGGUCUUUGGCCUCCAUUUUCCACAGAGAAAAGACGUCUGAGUCAGCA
Gorilla gorilla gorilla (western lowland gorilla) is the source of this 361-nucleotide long non-coding RNA. RefSeq lists it as uncharacterized. The transcript is spliced from 3 exons. The record is from RefSeq and is a predicted model, not a curated record. NCBI's taxonomy places the organism in Eukaryota, Metazoa, Chordata, Mammalia, Primates, Hominidae.